RNAcentral lists this ribosomal RNA (467 nucleotides) under uncultured bacterium. RNAcentral's name for it is "partial 16S ribosomal RNA". It matches the Rfam family "Bacterial small subunit ribosomal RNA", at positions 28 to 506 of the family's 1533-position model. The record is from RNAcentral.
GGCGAACGCUGGCGGCGUGCUUAACACAUGCAAGUCGAACGGAAAGGCCCUGCUUUUGUGGGGUGCUCGAGUGGCGAACGGGUGAGUAACACGUGAGUAACCUGCCCUUGACUUUGGGAUAACUUCAGGAAACUGGGGCUAAUACCGGAUAGGAGCUCCUGCUGCAUGGUGGGGGUUGGAAAGUUUCGGCGGUUGGGGAUGGACUCGCGGCUUAUCAGCUUGUUGGUGGGGUAGUGGCUUACCAAGGCUUUGACGGGUAGCCGGCCUGAGAGGGUGACCGGCCACAUUGGGACUGAGAUACGGCCCAGACUCAUACGGGAGGCAGCAGUGGGGAAUAUUGCACAAUGGGCGGAAGCCUGAUGCAGCAACGCCGCGUGCGGGAUGACGGCCUUCGGGUUGUAAACCGCUUUCGCCUGUGACGAAGCGUGAGUGACGGUAAUGGGUAAAGAAGCACCGGCUAACUACGU